UACGUAGGGUGCAAGCGUUGUCCGGAAUUAUUGGGCGUAAAGAGCUCGUAGGCGGUCUGUCGCGUCGAAUGUGAAAACCCGGGGCUCAACCCCGGGCCUGCACUCGAUACGGGCAGACUAGAGUUCGGUAGGGGAGUCUGGAAUUCCUGGUGUAGCGGUGAAAUGCGCAGAUAUCAGGAGGAACACCGGUGGCGCAAGCGGGACUCUGGGCCGAUACUGACGCUGAGACGCGAAAGCGUGGGGAGCAAACAGG
RNAcentral lists this ribosomal RNA (253 nucleotides) under uncultured bacterium. Its description in RNAcentral is "partial 16S ribosomal RNA". It matches the Rfam family "Bacterial small subunit ribosomal RNA", at positions 524 to 776 of the family's 1533-position model. The record is from RNAcentral.